GGAUGUGAGGGCGAUCUGGCUGCGACAUCUGUCACCCCAUUGAUUGCCAGGGUUGAUUCGGCUGAUCUGGCUGGCUAGGCGGGUGUCCCCUUCCUCCCUCACCGCUCCAUGUGCGUCCCUCCCGAAGCUGCGCGCUCGGUGGAAGAGGACGACGUCCCAGGUAUAGAAGGAGUGUACCGAGGUCUCCAGUCUUCGGUCCCGGGUAUACGAUAGCUGCGCUCCCCUGCUAGAACCUCCAAACAAGCACACUUGCAUGUUUUUGAACUGCUAAGUUGGCAGAAGCUGGGCCUAACAGCAAGAGCUCAGCCAGCUCUUCAAAUUCGAACUGCUGAGCUUUUGG
RNAcentral lists this small nuclear RNA (340 nucleotides) under Anolis carolinensis (green anole). RNAcentral's name for it is "7SK RNA". It matches the Rfam family "7SK RNA". Rfam says of the family: 7SK was discovered as an abundant small nuclear RNA in the mid-70s but a possible function has only recently been suggested. Two independent studies have found that 7SK RNA binds the CDK9/cyclin T complex (known as elongation factor P-TEFb). P-TEFb activates transcription by phosphorylating the C-terminal domain of RNA polymerase II. The record is from Rfam by way of RNAcentral. Lineage: Eukaryota; Metazoa; Chordata; Lepidosauria; Squamata; Anolidae.